AUUGAACGCUGGCGGUAUGCUUAAGACAUGCAAGUCGAACGGUAACAGGUUAAGCUGACGAGUGGCGGACGAGUGAGUAACGCGUGGGAAUCUACCUAGUGGUGCGGAAUAGCUCAGGGAAACUUGGGGUAAUACCGCAUGAGCCCGAAAGGGGAAGAUUUAUCGCCAUUAGAUGGGCCCGCGUAGGAUUAGCUAGUUGGUGAGGUAAUGGCUCGACCAAGGGCAACGGAUCCCUUAGCUGGUUUGAGAGAAUGACCAGCCACACUGGGACUGAGACACGGCCCAGACUCCUACGGGAGGCAGCAGUGGGGAAUCUUGGACAAUGGGCGCAAGCCUGAUCCAGCCAUGCCGCGUGAGUGACGAAGGCCUUAGGGUUGUAAAGCUCUUUUGGCGGGACGAUAAUGACGGUACCCGCAGAAUAAGCCCCGGCUAACUUCGUG
This 440-nucleotide ribosomal RNA is filed under the name uncultured bacterium. Its description in RNAcentral is "bacterial SSU rRNA". It matches the Rfam family "Bacterial small subunit ribosomal RNA", at positions 30 to 507 of the family's 1533-position model. The record is from RNAcentral.